AGCGAACGCUGGCGGCAGGCCUAACACAUGCAAGUCGAACGGACCUUUCGGGGUUAGUGGCGGACGGGUGAGUAACACGUGGGAACGUGCCUUUAGGUUCGGAAUAGCUCCUGGAAACGGGUGGUAAUGCCGAAUGUGCCCUUCGGGGGAAAGAUUUAUCGCCUUUAGAGCGGCCCGCGUCUGAUUAGCUAGUUGGUUGAGGUAACGGCUCACCAAGGCGACGAUCAGUAGCUGGUCUGAGAGGAUGGCCAGCCACAUUGGGACUGAGACACGGCCCAAACUCGUACGGGAGGGAGCAGUGGGGAAUCUUGCGCAAUGGGCGAAAGCCUGACGCAGCCAUGCCGCGUGAAUGAUGAAGGUCUUAGGAUUGUAAAAUUCUUUCACCGGGGACGAUAAUGACGGUACCCGGAGAAGAAGCCCCGGCUAACUUCGUG
RNAcentral lists this ribosomal RNA (434 nucleotides) under uncultured bacterium. RNAcentral's name for it is "partial 16S ribosomal RNA". It matches the Rfam family "Bacterial small subunit ribosomal RNA", at positions 29 to 507 of the family's 1533-position model. The record is from RNAcentral.